Long non-coding RNA from Acanthochromis polyacanthus (spiny chromis), 3508 nucleotides. RefSeq lists it as uncharacterized. Lineage: Eukaryota; Metazoa; Chordata; Actinopteri; Pomacentridae. The record is from RefSeq and is a predicted model, not a curated record. The transcript is spliced from 2 exons.
CCAAAGAAUGAGUCUGAUCCUGAUAAUAUGAGGUAGAGAGAGACAUUCAAUCAAGGCUGACAAUGGAUGAAAAGAUGGAAAAUAGAAGAGAGGACAUAGCUUUGAUCUACACAUUCUGUAGGAACACUGAUGGAGGAUGGAAACGACAUAAACAAGACAGAAAAUGACAAAAACGUCAUCAACAGGUUAUGUUAACAUGACACUCAUUGCAUAAGUAAUAUAAGUUGUGUUGUUAUAUGCUGUGUUGAUUAAAAGUAUGUUCCCACAAUUGCAAGAGUCAUCAAUGAAAAAACAAAACCAAAAAGGAGAUUUAAAUUCAAACUUUUUUUUAUUAGAGAUCCAGUUUUGUCAUCAUGGGGGUGGACAAGAGAAAAAUGUCAUUUUAGUGGUAACUCCAGACUUAUUUGGUAUUAUUUUUGGUAUUAGCUUUUUAAAAUUUAUUCUCAGGACAAGAACUUUUACAAAACAACUGCAUGUUUUAGUAUUUUAGAUUCUUUGAAAGUUGAUGGGUGGGACGUGAAAUGUCCUCCAAUUCUGGAAUGAUCCAUGUACAUAUUUGUUUUUUGAACAUAUUUUUAUGCAUUUGGUAGCUAAACUGAAACGUUUAGCUUAAAUUUGUUUCCACUGUAAGUCGCUGUUUGAACGUUGAAAGAUAUUAAUGCUGUUUCCUCCUGAGGCUGGUUAAAAUGGCCACAGUGACCAGAACUGAGGAGCAUUUGUGGCUUUGGGAACCUUUUUAAAAUCUGACUGCAGAAAUCGGACAUCCUGCGAGGCAUCAGCUGAAAAAAACUACUGGAAGAAAACACACGAGCAAAUACGAGGUGAUUCAGACAAACAGAGUUGUGCUCCAGAUCUGAUUCACAUCCAGCAGAAGUGUUGGUGUUGAUGCAAUAAAACAGUUUGUUCUUCAUGUAGAGAAGUAAAACCUCUUUAUGUCACAUGGGCACCACCACUGGGGAUAGAUACUGUAUGUUGAAGGUUUUUUAAUGUAUUCACUUCACAGUUUAUAAAAACCCCUAAAAGUGACCACAGAGCCUGAAGCCAUCACUGAAUUUUACCCUUAAUGUCCUAGAUUCCUGGUGUGAGGACGCCGGCAUCCACAGUUUGUUUGAAAUAAAUCAUUGUCACAUGAAUCUGAACCAAAGUCGGUGUUUUACAAACACAACUCUCAGAAUUAUCAGCAGCUUCUGCGCAACAGAUUGGUGAAAAGUUCAGAAUUGUUUUCCUUGUGGAGAUUUUAAAUCACUUUAAAUGUCCUUUAAUGUCCAUAUGAUGCUCAGCUCUAAUGAAAACAGAAGGGAAAUUGGAACAUAUUAUUAUUAAAUACCAAAGAACAGCAGCUCUUAACUUCUUGUUUCACAUAUUUAUGGUGAUCAGUCAAUCACUUGCGUCCGAUGGAAUCGGUGACAUGAAUAAAGUUCUCCAUCCAGUUCCCUCUGUCCAGCAUUGCUGUCAAAAGGUCUUUGCCUUCCAGACCAGUGUCCUCCGAUAGUAUCCGGUUUUCAUACCAACGACCAGCUGCUUCGUUGUGUCUCCACAUGUCCAUCCAGGGCUGGUCUUUGUUGCCUAAUGAUGGUUGACCAGCGUGCAUGUGGACCAUACAGCGACUUGUUGGUGAGGUGUGAUUUCCAGAUGUUUUCUACCAUCCUUAACAUUCUGGUAUAGGUCCCAUCAAUCAUUUUUGAGAGUGUUUUUGUUAGUGGCCAGGAGUCAGAUCCAUAAAACAAGAUAGAUUCCACUGACGCCUUGAAUACUCUCAUUUUGGUUGUUUUAAUUGGUGAUACUCAUAUUUUUGACAGAGAAUUCAGUGUCCCUAAGCUUUACCUACUUUUGUGUCAAUAUCAUGUGCUGUGUUGGCGCCAAAGGUCUGGGUCCUCUUUUUGCAGCUAACCCUUGUAUCUGAGGUCCGUUCUUCUAUCCGCCACCUGAGGAUCCAUGGAUGGGAGUUGUCAUCUCCACACCACUGUGGUUUUUAUGGUGAUAAGCUGCUAAUCAUUCUGAGAGGUACGUUAAUGUGAUACAGAUGUUAGUUUGGGUUCAUGAAAACCCUGUAAAUAAACUGGAUGGCGGCGUUCACCCAGCAGGUGUCGCUGCUGUACAGAGGGGUCCGUCUAAAAAGGCCUUAAUCUUAAAACAAAGGAAUGAACUUUCACACUGUUUGGUAAAUUUUAAUGUUGGAGCUGGCAGUAUUUUCUCUUUUUUUCCUUCUGCAUCAUUGGGUGAAACGUCCAUAACUUUUUAUCAUGUUGUAUUUCAAGGGUCUAAAUGGAAACGAGACUCCUGCUCUUCUUCCUGUAACCUGUGAUGAGAGAGCUCAGCCAAUCACAGGCUUCCCUCUCAGAUCAGGUGGGCAAAUUACAUCAUGGUGCGAUGGGAUGAACACAGGACUUUGACUCAGGACAGCAGCACUGGGAUCCUGUGUGGAACGUUACUGACUUUGAGCUUGAGUCAUUUUAACACAUUUAAAGCGCCUUCCUGGUCAGAGUAGACUGAGGGAGGAGGCCGUGUUUUCAAAUUCUGGUGUUUUCUUCCAGAUUACUGGAAGGUUUAAGCAAAGCCUUUAAUUAUGUCAAAUGAUCAAUUCCACCUCUUAUUAAUAUAUUCCUGUGGAUAAGUAGGUCCAUCACCAAAACUGAAUAUUAGAUUUCUUGGCUUGAGUUUUUCUGCUUAAAAAGCCUUAGACUGUGCACAAAAUCAUUAUUAUUAUUACGACUUUUUGAUUUGUCCCCUUCAAAUACCAUGAUAGGAAUAAAUUCUACUUAAUUUCCACGUAGUUUAGGCAUUUCAAAGGAAUUUCAACGGAACAGAAAAGAGAAUGGCACCUGUACUCCAAAACCACAACUAUGACCUCAUUUUGAAGUAUAUUUGCAGCAUUAAGCUGUUUCUAUUGUGAUUUUUUUAGUAGCCCUGUACUAAGAGAACAUACAAUAUAAAUACACGAAUUAAUAGAUUAAUAUUAUUACAAUAUUUAAUGGAUUAGCUGCACAGUUGAAAGGCUUUUCAAGUGGCAAAAAAAAAAAACUAAAAUUCUCCAAAUAACACGACAGCAUCCCUUAAAUAAAACAAAACAGUGCUUCAAAGUGUAGGGAUGUUAAUCCUGCUGUUUGGAACAUUUUAAGGGGCGACAUCUUUGUAAAGAAAGAUUUUCCUAUAAACCCCCCUUUAUUACAGUCCACUGUUUCGCCGGCUAAACAGAUUAUCUGGAGUCUCCAAACCUCCCCAAACUACAGAAUUUGCUUUCAGGAGGGUUUGGUGUUUAUUUUUCCAGAAUUCUAUUAAAACUAUUGUAACAGAUUACAAUGAAGAUGUAUCGAGUAUUAUUUAUCCCUUUUAAAAUGUUUUUUACCCUUGAAGAACCUCACAAUGCAACAAAGCAGUUUAAAGCACUUUGUAGAUGAAGGUGUUUUAUUUUUUUAAAUACUUUAAAUCUGUGAUCUUAUGAUGUAUUUUACAAGAUUAUCUGCACAGAGCUAAUGAGUGGACGAUUAAACCAUUAUGAUGAAAUAUC